CCUACGGGAGGCAGCAGUGGGGAAUCUUGCGCAAUGGGCGAAAGCCUGACGCAGCGACGCCUCGUGGGGGAUGAAGGCUCUCGGGUUGUAAACCCCUUUCGGCAGGAACGAAAUUGACGGUACCUGAAGAAGAAGCACCGGCCAACUACGUGCCAGCAGCCGCGGUAAUACGUAGGGUGCAAGCGUUGUCCGGAUUUAUUGGGCGUAAAGAGCUCGUAGGCGGCUUCGUAAGUCGGGUGUGAAACCUCCAGGCUUAACCUGGAGACGCCACCCGAUACUGCGAUAGCUAGAGUCUGGUAGGGGAUCACGGAAUUCCUGGUGUAGCGGUGAAAUGCGCAGAUAUCAGGAGGAACACCGAUGGCGAAGGCAGUGAUCUGGGCCAGUACUGACGCUGAGGAGCGAAAGCGUGGGGAGCAAACAGGAUUAGAUACCCUGGUAGUCCACGCCGUAAACGUUGGGCACUAGGUGUGGGUCCUUAUCAACGGGAUCCGUGCCGCAGCUACGCAUAAGUAGCCCGCCGUCGGGAGGUACGGUCGCGAAGAACGUAAACGUUAAAGGUAAAGUUAGACGGUCGUGAGACGUUGCCGAACGGACGACGACGAGGGAGUAGG
This 611-nucleotide ribosomal RNA is filed under the name uncultured bacterium. RNAcentral describes it as "bacterial SSU rRNA". The stretch from base 1 to 519 matches the Rfam family "Bacterial small subunit ribosomal RNA", at positions 338 to 873 of the family's 1533-position model. The record is from RNAcentral.